This is a long non-coding RNA of Hydra vulgaris (swiftwater hydra), 356 nucleotides long. RefSeq lists it as uncharacterized. The record is from RefSeq and is a predicted model, not a curated record. Lineage: Eukaryota; Metazoa; Cnidaria; Hydrozoa; Anthoathecata; Hydridae.
CUAAUAUUUUGUCUUUUUCUUUUUCUUUACUAAUGUAUUAUUUUAAAUCUGUAUUUAUAUUUUUACUAGAAGCGCAACAACAACCACAAUCAGGAAAAUGACCAUAAACGAAAGUCAAGCUCAAUCUUUUGAUAAAGUUGGUGUUUAUCUUGAAAAGCCUUGCUUUUCACAUAGUCAAUUGAAUGUUGCAUGUUCAAGAACAAGAUUGUUUAAUAGUUUGUUUUUUAAAGUUGAUAAACAUUCAUUACAAGACUGGCUAUUUUGAAUCAGUAAAAUGAUUUUGCAACGAACGAUAAAUUGUGAAGUCUUUAACGUUAAACAAAAUAUACAUUCACAAAAAAAAAAUGUUAUUUAUA